Long non-coding RNA from Poecilia latipinna (sailfin molly), 1437 nucleotides. RefSeq lists it as uncharacterized. The record is from RefSeq and is a predicted model, not a curated record. Lineage: Eukaryota; Metazoa; Chordata; Actinopteri; Cyprinodontiformes; Poeciliidae. The transcript has 2 exons.
CUUUACUUUUCUCUAAGCUGCAGGAACUUUCCGUCCUCAUUCUUUACGCUCAAACUCACACGAAGGCAAACGGUAAAUGCUGAAAAUAUUUAAAAAUCGUGGAAUUAUUUCUUUAAAGGUUUCCGGAAAUGCUCUACUUUGGAGCUUGUUGAAUCAUGGGGCCAAAAAAUUACAGUCCACAGUUACAAGUUGCAACAAUGCGGCUUCACCAUAAGGACUUUGUUGACGAAUUAAAAGCACUUCACCUUCAAAACGACGAAAAGGACAAGAAAAUCAGUCAUCUGGAAAAGCGAGUGAAUGAGCUGGAACAUAAUCAAGGAUGUGAUCGUACUGGACCGGUUAAAAAGAGAUUUAUACCCGUGCUGUGAGUCGAGCACAUGCCGCCUUCCUGGAAUCCAAAGGCGUCACAUUAGAAGCUAAACAGACUGAAGCUUGCCACUCGUUGGAAAGGAGGAAUCCUGGACAUAAACAAGCCACCAGCCUGAGGAAGCUGACUGCCUGUUGCUGGAAAGGAGCCAAACGUGUCAGCAGCAGAGUUAGGCAAGGAGGAAUCUUAUUAUCGGCUUUAUUAAAUCUUCACAUGGAUGAACUCUCUGAAACUGAAUGCAUGUAACUCUGGAUGUUUUGUUGGAAAUCUAUUAGUGAAUCAUAUUUUGCCUGCAGAUUCUGUGGUUUUUAGUCCAUGAAGUGCAAAUCUGUGGUGUAAAGCUUUAUAUUAAUCAUAAUGCCUGUAAGAUGUCAUGAUCUGUUGAACUAAACAGAGCAAACAUAUAAAAUGUCCAGAAUUCAAAUCAUUGAGGAAUACAGUUUGUCAGUGAAAAAAAUAAAUAUUCUGAUCAUUUCAUUACAGAAUAUGUGACAGAUGAUGAUGAUGAUGAUGAUAUGACUAAAAUCCUUUCAUGAAAAUUCAGUUUGUGCUCAGACAAAACUUGUCUUUUUGUAGCAUACUGUAUACUUCUAUUUACUGCACAUUUGAGGACAAACUAUUAAAUGUAAAAUAAUCUCAGUAAACUUCUGGUUGAGCUCUACAUGAUACCAUUCACUGCUGUGUUGGCAGUUAUCCAUUAUUACAUUUUAUGCAAUUUUGUGUUAAAUUUUAUUCAAAUUCAAAAAUACUUUAUUGAUCCCAAAGGAAAAUGAAAUUUUGUUUUUACUCAUAUUAACUCAAAGUAAUUGUAAAUAGCGAUGGUUGUUGGGAGGAAGGAUCUCCUGUAGCAGUCUGUAUCACAGCAAAUUUGAAGAAGCCUCUUACUGAAGACACUGUGUUUUCUCAAGACAACCUCAUAAAGAGUAUGGCCAGUGUUGUCCAUAAUUUUCUUAAUAAUAUGGACAUGUAUUUUAUUUUUAGAUGAUUGUAGAUAUCUGGUUGGUUAGUUGUCAUAUUCUCCAUUUUCAGUUGGACCUGGAGUCUGAAAUAAAGUUUCUACCAUCAAGUCA